Molecule: small nucleolar RNA, 107 nt
Organism: Zingiber officinale
Lineage: Eukaryota; Viridiplantae; Streptophyta; Magnoliopsida; Zingiberales; Zingiberaceae
Source: RefSeq, a predicted model, not a curated record
AAGCCCAUGAUGGGGACACUGUCGAAGCAUACUCUUGAAUCUGUCCCAUGCUUCAAAUAACGACUCUGAGUCUGUCUGUCUGAAACUCGCUAUUACAUUCCUCGUGU